AGAAUUGACGGGGGCCCGCACAAGCGGUGGAGUAUGUGGUUUAAUUCGACGCAACGCGAAGAACCUUACCGAGGCUUGACAUUGAGUGAAAAUCCUAGAGAUAGGACUUCUCUUUCGAGAGCACGAAAACAGGUGGUGCAUGGUUGUCGUCAGCUCGUGUCGUGAGAUGUUGGGUUAAGUCCCGCAACGAGCGCAACCCCUAUCCUAUGUUACCAGCAAGUUAAGUUGGGGACUCAUGGGAGACUGCCAGGGACAACCUGGAGGAAGGCGGGGAUGACGUCAAAUCAUCAUGCCCCUUAUGCCUCGGGCUACACACGUACUACAAUGGUCGGCAACAGAGGGCAGCGAAACCGCGAGGUGGAGCAAAUCCCAGAAACCCGACCCCAGUUCGGAUUGCAGGCUGCAACUCGCCUGCAUGAAGUUGGAAUCGCUAGUAAUCGCAGGUCAGCAUACUGCGGUGAAUACGUUCCCGGGCCUUGUACACACCGCCCGUCACACCACGAAAGUUGAUAACACCCAAAGCCAGUGAGAUAACCUUUUAGGAGUCAGCUGUCUAAGGUGGGAUUGAUGAUUGGGGUGAAGUCGUAACAAGGUAACCAA
Molecule: ribosomal RNA, 600 nt
Filed under: uncultured Acidaminococcus sp.
Lineage: Bacteria; Bacillati; Bacillota; Negativicutes; Acidaminococcales; Acidaminococcaceae
Description: bacterial SSU rRNA
Rfam family: Bacterial small subunit ribosomal RNA
Source: RNAcentral